Molecule: long non-coding RNA, 609 nt
Filed under: Malus domestica (apple)
Lineage: Eukaryota; Viridiplantae; Streptophyta; Magnoliopsida; Rosales; Rosaceae
Description: long non-coding RNA (MDOM_LNC000816)
Source: RNAcentral
AUGAAGAAUGGUUUUACUCAGCCUGGGCAAUGCAGUGAAGCACCAUCUCUAAUAGAAGGAAACCAUACUCUGACAGGAAACUCUUCCGAAGCUGUUAAUAUAAACGUAGAGACAAGAGAGCCUGGAGAGUUGCCUCGAGGAGUAACUGAUGACGAACCUGCCAUUUUGGAGCCUGGGAAGGAUGAACAAGUGGAAGUGUUGCCGGAUGUGACUCCACCAAAUGCUUGUGCUUGUGUGAUGGAAAAGGACUUAGAGAUGCAAGAGAUAGCAGAACUGUCACGGGGCAUGAUUGAUGAGUACAAUGCACUUACCGAAUCUACCAUUUUGGAGCCUAAAAUCGUUGAACAAGUAGAACUGUUGCCAGAUGUGACUUCAUCAAAUGCUUGUGCUUAUGUGACGGAAAAGGAAGCAGAGAUGCAAGAGCUAGCAGAACUGCCACGGGGCAUGACUGAUGAGCACAAUGCACUUAAUGAGUCCAAGGAAAUUGAAGAAGUCGGAGUGGUGAAGGAAGAUGAUUCCCUACAAAGUGGAGAAGAACAUCAUGUGGCAUUUGAUGUAACUUCACAACCGGAUGGAACUUCAAAUACGGAUCAAUUAGAGCAACGACGA